AAAAUCCUUUUCAAACAGCUCUACGAAAUAUAUUACUUCCCAAAUUAGAAGUAAAAAACUGCAGCCAGAAGAAUACGACUCACAGAAAAGUAAACAGACAAGCAGAGGUGCAUAAACACACAGGCCACAACAACAGUUUUCAUCGUCCAGGCGAGCCAGACCAUCAGGUACCACUUGGCAAUUCAGAGUACAUCACUUCAACCACUCUAGCUAAACCUGCAGCUAGUUUCCAAAAGUCAAUGUUCAAUCAUCCAGACCUAGGCAUAGUACAGUUUCCACAUACACACAACUUGAUUUCGGCCCUCAAAAGAAUUUCGGUUAACAUCCAUACACCACAGAGGCAUCCGUUGCGGAUUCUUCAUUGCCUGAUCAGCUGCAUAUAUGUUUAAGAUUAAGAACCCAUUCAGAAAUUCAGAUCAUUAAGAAAGGUGAGCGAUCAGGAAGAGGUGUGGUUCAAAGAUUUACCCCCGGGUUACCUGUGUAGCUGAGGUUCACUUGGAG
RNAcentral lists this long non-coding RNA (501 nucleotides) under Triticum aestivum (bread wheat). Its description in RNAcentral is "long non-coding RNA (TAES_LNC011291)". Lineage: Eukaryota; Viridiplantae; Streptophyta; Magnoliopsida; Poales; Poaceae. The record is from RNAcentral.